AACGGCCGUACCAUGCUGAAUAUACCGGUUCUCGUUAGAUCACCAAAGUUAAGCAUCAUUGGGCGCGGUCAGUACUUGGGUGGGUGACCACCUGGGAAUAUUGCGUGCCGUU
This 112-nucleotide ribosomal RNA is filed under the name Caerostris darwini. Lineage: Eukaryota; Metazoa; Arthropoda; Arachnida; Araneae; Araneidae. The record is from RNAcentral.